Molecule: non-coding RNA, 72 nt
Organism: Cyprinodon variegatus (sheepshead minnow)
Lineage: Eukaryota; Metazoa; Chordata; Actinopteri; Cyprinodontiformes; Cyprinodontidae
Source: the annotation of a RefSeq genome assembly
UCCCUGAUGGUCUAAUGGUAAGGAUUCAGCGCUUUCAUUGCUGUGGCCUGGGUUUGAUUCCCGGUCAGGGAA